AUAGCGCUUUGUGUCGCGAAGUCGUUGGAAAGUUCCGUGCUCGUGUGCCGCCACACUGAUAUAAAGAAGUUAUACAUAUACCAUCAUCUUUUUGUAGUUACACUCGCGACACUUUCAUUCAGAUGAACACAACGCAUAAACGCAUAAACGCCGAAAAACGUUGAAGCUAUGUUGUGACCCGCGAAUCGGUGGCGCUAUACGACGGAAACAGGAACGGAAAUAGCGCGGGUGCGACCGGUGCCCCGUGAAAUACGAACUACACACAAUAACACGCUAAAGUAUUUCAAUUAUCAAUGAUCUUUUACUUCAUCAUAAUAUUUUUUACUACAAAAUUAAUAUCAAUUCUUUAAAUAAUAAUAGUUGAAUUUUACAGAGUUGUAUACUGUAU
This 388-nucleotide unclassified non-coding RNA is filed under the name Bombus terrestris (buff-tailed bumblebee). RNAcentral describes it as "misc RNA ENSBTSG00005031221.1". The record is from RNAcentral. Lineage: Eukaryota; Metazoa; Arthropoda; Insecta; Hymenoptera; Apidae.